Molecule: ribosomal RNA, 112 nt
Filed under: Rhizobium ruizarguesonis
Lineage: Bacteria; Pseudomonadati; Pseudomonadota; Alphaproteobacteria; Hyphomicrobiales; Rhizobiaceae
Description: partial 23S ribosomal RNA
Rfam family: Bacterial large subunit ribosomal RNA
Source: RNAcentral
AUUCCCUAUCAGAGCCGUGGAAGACGACCACGUUGAUAGGCCGGGUGUGGAAGUGCGGCAACGCAUGAAGCUUACCGGUACUAAUAGCUCGAUUGGCUUGAUCGUUCUCAUU